RNAcentral lists this ribosomal RNA (497 nucleotides) under uncultured bacterium. RNAcentral describes it as "partial 16S ribosomal RNA". It matches the Rfam family "Bacterial small subunit ribosomal RNA", at positions 28 to 507 of the family's 1533-position model. The record is from RNAcentral.
GAUGAACGCUGGCGGCGUGCCUAAUACAUGCAAGUCGAGCGAACAGACGGGGAGCUGUCGCCUCUGAGGUUGGCGGGGGUCGGGUGAGUAACACGUGGAUAACCUACCUAUAAGACUGGGAUGACUUCGGGAAACCGUGGCUAAUACCGGAUAAUAUAUUGACCUGCAUGGGUCAAUAGUUAAAUACGGUUUUGCUUUCACUUAUAGAUUGCUCCGCGCCGGAUUAGUUAGUUGGUGAGGUGAAGGCUUACCAAGGCUACGAUGCGUAACCGGCCCGAGAGGGAGAUCGGCCACACUGGCACAGAGACACGUCCCAGACUCCUACGCGAGGCAGCAGUCGGGAAUCCUCCGCAAUGCGGCAAAGCCUGACGGAGCAACGCCGCGGGAGUGCUGAAGGUCCUCGGAUCGUAAAACUCUGUUAUUAGGGAAGAACAAAUGUGUAAGUAACUAUGCACGUAUUGACGGUACCUAAUCAGAAAGCCCCGGCUAACUCCGUG